GACGAACGCUGGCGGCGUGCUUAACACAUGCAAGUCGAACGGAAAGGCCCUGCUUUUGUGGGGUGCUCGAGUGGCGAACGGGUGAGUAACACGUGAGUAACCUGCCCUUGACUUUGGGAUAACUUCAGGAAACUGGGGCUAAUACCGGAUAGGAGCUCCUGCUGCAUGGUGGGGGUUGGAAAGUUUCGGCGGUUGGGGAUGGACUCGCGGCUUAUCAGCUUGUUGGUGGGGUAGUGGCUUACCAAGGCUUUGACGGGUAGCCGGCCUGAGAGGGUGACCGGCCACAUUGGGACUGAGAUACGGACCAGACUCCUACGGGAGGCAGCAGUGGGGAAUAUUGCACAAUGGGCGGAAGCGUGAUGCAGCAACGCCGCGUGCGGGAUGACGGCCUUCGGGUUGUAAACCGCUUUCGCCUGUGACGAGGCGUGAGUGACGGUAAUGGGUAAAGAAGCACCGGCUAACUACGUG
This 468-nucleotide ribosomal RNA is filed under the name uncultured bacterium. RNAcentral describes it as "partial 16S ribosomal RNA". It matches the Rfam family "Bacterial small subunit ribosomal RNA", at positions 28 to 507 of the family's 1533-position model. The record is from RNAcentral.